This 2899-nucleotide ribosomal RNA is filed under the name Candidatus Enterococcus willemsii. Its description in RNAcentral is "Enterococcus sp. CU12B partial 23S ribosomal RNA". It matches the Rfam family "Bacterial large subunit ribosomal RNA". The record is from RNAcentral. Lineage: Bacteria; Bacillati; Bacillota; Bacilli; Lactobacillales; Enterococcaceae.
AUAAGGUUAAGUGAAUAAGGGCGCACGGUGGAUGCCUUGGCACUAGGAGCCGAUGAAGGACGGGACGAACACCGAUAUGCUUUGGGGAGCUGUAAGUAAGCUUUGAUCCAGAGAUUUCCGAAUGGGGGAACCCAGCAUCUUUGAUAGGAUGUUACUUAGCAGUGAAUACAUAGCUGUUAAGAGGUAGACGCAGAGAACUGAAACAUCUAAGUACCUGCAGGAAGAGAAAGAAAAUUCGAUUCCCUGAGUAGCGGCGAGCGAAACGGGAAAAGCCCAAACCAAGAUGCUUGCAUCUUGGGGUUGUAGGACUCCGAUAUGGUAGUCUUUUUAGCUAGUCGAACAACUUGGAAAAGUUGGCCAGAGUGGGUAAAAGCCCCGUAGACGAAAGGUAAAAAGCACCUAGGAGGAUCCUGAGUACGGCGGAACACGAGGAAUUCCGUCGGAAUCCGGGAGGACCAUCUCCCAAGGCUAAAUACUCCCUAGUGACCGAUAGUGAACCAGUACCGUGAGGGAAAGGUGAAAAGCACCCCGGAAGGGGAGUGAAAUAGAACCUGAAACCGUGUGCCUACAACAAGUUAAAGCCCGUUAAUGGGUGAUAGCGUGCCUUUUGUAGAAUGAACCGGCGAGUUACGAUUGCAUGCGAGGUUAAGUUGAAGAGACGGAGCCGCAGCGAAAGCGAGUCUGAAUAGGGCGAAUGAGUAUGUAGUCGUAGACCCGAAACCAUGUGAUCUACCCAUGUCCAGGUUGAAGGUGCGGUAAAACGCACUGGAGGACCGAACCCACGUACGUUGAAAAGUGCGGGGAUGAGGUGUGGGUAGCGGAGAAAUUCCAAACGAACUUGGAGAUAGCUGGUUCUCUCCGAAAUAGCUUUAGGGCUAGCGUCGAAGUUGAGAAUGAUGGAGGUAGAGCACUGUUUGGACUAGGGGCCCAUCUCGGGUUACCGAAUUCAGAUAAACUCCGAAUGCCAUUCAUUCAUAUUCGGCAGUCAGACUGUGAGUGAUAAGAUCCAUAGUCGAAAGGGAAACAGCCCAGACCACCAGCUAAGGUCCCAAAAUAACUAUUAAGUGGAAAAGGAUGUGGGGUUGCACAGACAACUAGGAUGUUGGCUUAGAAGCAGCCAUCAUUUAAAGAGUGCGUAAUAGCUCACUAGUCGAGUGACCCUGCGCCGAAAAUGUACCGGGGCUAAAUAGUUUACCGAAGCUGUGGAGUGCAUCGAAGAUGCAUUGGUAGGAGAGCGUUCUAAGGGCGUUGAAGGUAGAUCGUGAGGACUACUGGAGCGCUUAGAAGUGAGAAUGCCGGUAUGAGUAGCGAAAGACAGGUGAGAAUCCUGUCCACCGUAUGACUAAGGUUUCCUGGGGAAGGCUCGUCCGCCCAGGGUUAGUCGGGACCUAAGCCGAGGCCGAAAGGCGUAGGCGAUGGACAACAGGUUGAUAUUCCUGUACCCGUUGCUUUUGUUUGAACAAUGGAGGGACGCAGGAGGCUAAGGAAAGCAGACGAUUGGAAAUGUCUGUCCAAGCAACGAGUCUGAGUGAGAGUCAAAUGCUUUCAUUCGCGACGGAUGAGUUGUGAUGGGGAGGGAAAUAAUAGUACCGAAGUUCCUGAUGUCACACUGCCAAGAAAAGCUUCUAGUGAGAAAGUAACGGCCCGUACCGCAAACCGACACAGGUAGUCGAGGAGAGUAUCCUAAGGUGAGCGAGAGAACUCUCGUUAAGGAACUCGGCAAAAUGACCCCGUAACUUCGGGAGAAGGGGUGCUGCUCUACGAGCAGCCGCAGUGAAUAGGCCCAAGCGACUGUUUAUCAAAAACACAGGUCUCUGCAAAAUCGAAAGAUGACGUAUAGGGGCUGACGCCUGCCCGGUGCUGGAAGGUUAAGAGGAGUGCUUAGCGCAAGCGAAGGUACGAAUUGAAGCCCCAGUAAACGGCGGCCGUAACUAUAACGGUCCUAAGGUAGCGAAAUUCCUUGUCGGGUAAGUUCCGACCCGCACGAAAGGCGUAACGAUUUGGGCACUGUCUCAACGAGAGACUCGGUGAAAUUUUAGUACCUGUGAAGAUGCAGGUUACCCGCGACAGGACGGAAAGACCCCAUGGAGCUUUACUGUAGUUUGAUAUUGAGUGUCUGUACCGCAUGUACAGGAUAGGUAGGAGCCGUAGAAAUCGGGACGCUAGUUUCGAUGGAGGCAAUGGUGGGAUACUACCCUUGCGUUAUGGCCACUCUAACCCGCACCACUAAUCGUGGUGGGAGACAGUGUCAGAUGGGCAGUUUGACUGGGGCGGUCGCCUCCUAAAGAGUAACGGAGGCGCCCAAAGGUUCCCUCAGAAUGGUUGGAAAUCAUUCGAAGAGUGUAAAGGCAGAAGGGAGCUUGACUGCGAGAGCUACAACUCGAGCAGGGACGAAAGUCGGGCUUAGUGAUCCGGUGGUUCCGCAUGGAAGGGCCAUCGCUCAACGGAUAAAAGCUACCCUGGGGAUAACAGGCUUAUCUCCCCCAAGAGUCCACAUCGACGGGGAGGUUUGGCACCUCGAUGUCGGCUCGUCGCAUCCUGGGGCUGUAGUCGGUCCCAAGGGUUGGGCUGUUCGCCCAUUAAAGCGGCACGCGAGCUGGGUUCAGAACGUCGUGAGACAGUUCGGUCCCUAUCCGUCGCGGGCGUUGGAAAUUUGAGAGGAGCUGUCCUUAGUACGAGAGGACCGGGAUGGACUUACCGCUGGUGUACCAGUUGUCUCGCCAGAGGCAUCGCUGGGUAGCUAUGUAGGGAAGGGAUAAACGCUGAAAGCAUCUAAGUGUGAAGCCCACCUCAAGAUGAGAUUUCCCAUUUCUUUAAGAAAGUAAGAACCCUGAAAGAUGAUCAGGUAGAUAGGUCAGAAGUGGAAGUGCAGUGAUGUACGGAGCGGACUGAUACUAAU